GACGAACGCUGGCGGCGUGCUUAACACAUGCAAGUCGAACGGAAAGGCCCCUUCGGGGGUACUCGAGUGGCGAACGGGUGAGUAACACGUGGGUGAUCUGCCCUGCACUUCGGGAUAAGCCUGGGAAACUGGGUCUAAUACCGGAUAGGACCACGGGAUGCAUGUCCUGUGGUGGAAAGCUUUUGCGGUGUGGGAUGGGCCCGCGGCCUAUCAGCUUGUUGGUGGGGUGACGGCCUACCAAGGCGACGACGGGUAGCCGGCCUGAGAGGGUGUCCGGCCACACUGGGACUGAGAUACGGCCCAGACUCCUACGGGAGGCAGCAGUGGGGAAUAUUGCACAAUGGGCGCAAGCCUGAUGCAGCGACGCCGCGUGGGGGAUGACGGCCUUCGGGUUGUAAACCUCUUUCAGCAGGGACGAAGCGCAAGUGACGGUACCUGCAGAAGAAGCACCGGCCAACUACGUGCCAGCAGCCGCGGUAAUACGUAGGGUGCGAGCGUUGUCCGGAAUUACUGGGCGUAAAGAGCUCGUAGGUGGUUUGUCGCGUUGUUCGUGAAAACCGGGGGCUUAACCCUCGGCGUGCGGGCGAUACGGGCAGACUGGAGUACUGCAGGGGAGACUGGAAUUCCUGGUGUAGCGGUGGAAUGCGCAGAUAUCAGGAGGAACACCGGUGGCGAAGGCGGGUCUCUGGGCAGUAACUGACGCUGAGGAGCGAAAGCGUGGGGAGCGAACAGGAUUAGAUACCCUGGUAGUCCACGCCGUAAACGGUGGGUACUAGGUGUGGGUUUCCUUCCUUGGGAUCCGUGCCGUAGCUAACGCAUUAAGUACCCCGCCUGGGGAGUACGGCCGCAAGGCUAAAACUCAAAGGAAUUGACGGGGGCCCGCACAAGCGGCGGAGCAUGUGGAUUAAUUCGAUGCAACGCGAAGAACCUUACCUGGGUUUGACAUGCACAGGACGCCGGCAGAGAUGUCGGUUCCCUUGUGGCCUGUGUGCAGGUGGUGCAUGGCUGUCGUCAGCUCGUGUCGUGAGAUGUUGGGUUAAGUCCCGCAACGAGCGCAACCCUUGUCUCAUGUUGCCAGCGGGUAAUGCCGGGGACUCGUGAGAGACUGCCGGGGUCAACUCGGAGGAAGGUGGGGAUGACGUCAAGUCAUCAUGCCCCUUAUGUCCAGGGCUUCACACAUGCUACAAUGGCCGGUACAAAGGGCUGCGAUGCCGCGAGGCUUAGCGAAUCCUUUUAAAGCCGGUCUCAGUUCGGAUCGGGGUCUGCAACUCGACCCCGUGAAGUCGGAGUCGCUAGUAAUCGCAGAUCAGCAACGCUGCGGUGAAUACGUUCCCGGGCCU
Molecule: ribosomal RNA, 1340 nt
Filed under: uncultured bacterium
Lineage: Bacteria
Description: bacterial SSU rRNA
Rfam family: Bacterial small subunit ribosomal RNA
Source: RNAcentral